Molecule: long non-coding RNA, 1972 nt
Organism: Nomascus leucogenys (northern white-cheeked gibbon)
Lineage: Eukaryota; Metazoa; Chordata; Mammalia; Primates; Hylobatidae
Exons: 5
Source: RefSeq, a predicted model, not a curated record
AGAAGGGACGGCACUUCUUUAGGUCCUGUAAGGAAACCAUCCAGACACUGCCAUGUGUUGCAGAGGGGAUAUUAGCUGAGAUCUAGAAAAUACCUCCAUUCUGGGUGUUUUCAUAAUCCAGCACCCCACUGGGGGCUCAAGUCACAUCUUUCUGCCCAAUAGUACGGAUGAGAAGACCAAGGCCUAGAGGAAAGGAGAAACCUGCCAACAGCUAAUAGCAACUGCUGAAAACCCGUCCUUGGCGCCAGCAGGACCUGAAGCUGAGGUCACUUCUCUCUCUGGAAAGACUCCGAGGAUGGAAAAGUACAGCCAGCCCCCAGACUGGGAUUCCUGGAAGACAUAACUCAUCCCAGUGCCCCCUUCCCCUUGGAGUCCUUGGAGUCCCUUUCCCUAAGGAAGUCCACUUGACAGCCAGUUCGUGGAGCCAGUGGCGGUGAAGAAAGAGAUCAACUGAUUGUUCGUGCAAAGUCCCUUUUGGAAAACAGAGCCCCUGACCGAGAUCUGGAGGACAGACUCCAGUUGCUGGCCAGGUCCCUGUGGCAGCUGUGAUGGGAUCAGAUUCCCAGGAAAGGAGGAGGCUGCCACAUUUGCAAAGGGAGCAAAAAGGACAGGCAGGCAGCCUCUGAAACCAGAGACAGACACAGAGAGAAACAGAGAGUGAGAAAAUGCUCCCCCGAAGACAUAGUGAGAUUAUUUUCUGUAAACCUAUAAGGGAAGACAAAGUUACACAGUGAGUCCACCUUCUGAAAAGCAACAGGCAGACAGGACCGAGGACCAUGCUCUCAAGGGAAGCCGUGAUGAAGCCGGGAGGAGAGGCGCAUCCUCAGCAGAGCUUCCCUCCCUUUCACACGAGCUGACGGCGUGAACGAGGGUGUUGGGGUUGGUGCAACUAUAGAAGGGAAAGGCUGGGCGGGGGUCACACAUACCUCAGUGGCAGACAGGCAGGCGGCAGGCAGAGCGCGCUCUCUGGGCAGUCUGAAUGUCUGCGGGAAUGUGGAGGGGUUUAGAGACAGGCAACAGGAAACCACUCAGAGCUCUGGGCUGGGUCUAUCUCCCCUCCACCCCGUGGUCCCUCCUCCUCCUGUCUCCUCCUUCCCCCGGCCUCCUCCUUCUCCCGUAGCCAAAGCUGUCUCUGUCUUUCAUUUCUUUCCUCCUCUUUUUGCGGUGGGCUGUCCUGACCAAACGUCCCAACCCUGCCUGCCUCAUCUGUUCCGGGGCUGCUGCCUAAACCGACUCACAGAGUGCCAGGGCUGGACAGGCCUGGAGGGAUGACCCAGAACAGCCUCUUUCUUGUUCAGAGGGCAAGUGAGGCCUGGAGACUGCAAGGAAUUACCCAAUAGCCCCCAGGGGCAGAACCAGGCCCAAGUGUCUUGAUCUUCUAACCAGUGAGCUUUACAGGAGUCCUCCCUAAUAUUAGGCAAUGCUGAGAAGGGCCAAGCAAUUCAAGGGGGUUGUAUUUGCCACAAAGGCAAGGCCAGGACUUACCACUGUACAGACAAGACAGGCUGCUACUAGUGGUAUCAUCCUUGAUGAUUUGGAACUGGUCUUAAAAAAAAAAAUCCCAUUCAAACUCCACUUGUACCACCGAUAGACACAUAAGGGAUUAGACAUCUAGCUUGUGGACCUGUGCCACCAUUAUUGAACAGAUAAGGUAAUUGAUGAUAUUGAUGAUAAUCAUAGGAGUAACAAUAGCCACAGUUUACUGAGGAUUUAAUAAUCUUCACAGCAACCCCUUAUCUUAGACAUUGUAAUUAUGACCAUUUUAAUAAUAAGGAAACAUAGAAGCUAAGUAACUUGCCUAUGAUCACCUGGCAAAAAGUGGUAUGAGUGGGCUGAUUCUACAUUUCAACUUGGGUCACUCCUGUUGUAUAUGAACUGCUCAGUGCAACAGGUCUUGGUUGAAUAUUUAUUUCGUGCCUAAAACUCUGGGAGGUAUGAGAAUUAAUAAAUACCUGGUCCUCGUCCUCAAAAA